RNAcentral lists this ribosomal RNA (237 nucleotides) under Stenotrophomonas sp. RG29. RNAcentral describes it as "partial 16S ribosomal RNA". It matches the Rfam family "Bacterial small subunit ribosomal RNA", at positions 977 to 1215 of the family's 1533-position model. Lineage: Bacteria; Pseudomonadati; Pseudomonadota; Gammaproteobacteria; Lysobacterales; Lysobacteraceae. The record is from RNAcentral.
GGCCUUGACAUGUGGAGAAAAAUCCAGAGAUGGAUGGGGGCUUCGGGAACUUGAACACAGGUGCUGCAUGGCUGUSGUCAGCUCGUGUCGUGAGAUGUUGGGUUAAGUCCCGCAACGAGCGCAMCCCUUGUCCYUAGUUGCCACCMCGUAAUGGKGGGAACUYUAAGGAGWCCGCCSGUUWCAAACCGGAGGAAGGUGGGGAUGACGUCMAGUCMUCAUGGGCCUUCGGCCAGGGCU